RNAcentral lists this ribosomal RNA (253 nucleotides) under uncultured bacterium. RNAcentral's name for it is "partial 16S ribosomal RNA". It matches the Rfam family "Bacterial small subunit ribosomal RNA", at positions 524 to 776 of the family's 1533-position model. The record is from RNAcentral.
UACAGAGGUCUCAAGCGUUGUUCGGAUUCAUCGGGCGUAAAGGGUGUGUAGGUGGCGCGCUGAGUCGGGUGUGAAAUUUCGGAGCUUAACUCCGAAACUGCAUUCGAUACUGGCGUGCUUGAGGACUGGAGAGGAGACUGGAAUUCAUGGUGUAGCAGUGAAAUGCGUAGAGAUCGGCAGGAACACCCAGGGGGAAACCAGUGGACUGGGCAGGAGCUGACGCUCAGGUGCGAAAGCGUGGGGAGCGAACCGG